GACGCUGUGCUGAUGGAAACGCUGUUCCUCCAAAGCCCUGCCUCCGUGAAGCUGGAAGCCUGUUCUGGGGUCGCGGGUUUACAGAACGUAUGCAGUGUCUCUGCUCGAGUAGAGUGUGCCGUAGCGCAUUAGCAGUGCGUUGCGAGUGAGGUUUCAAGCUACUGCGGCAGAACGCGACGACCUUUACCGCACCCGCUCGGACAGCGCCGCGAGUCCAGUUCCAGGAGCAGCUCUGUGGGCACAGGAGCGUCUUCGACGACUCUGUUCACCGGGUUGUUGGAUUAGUUUUGCUGGGGAGUUGACCGACAAAGGGCACUAUCCGAGUAAAUUGACAAGGCACGCUCGAAUCAGAGCGUGUUGUUGGCCGACAAGCUGUCUGCUGCACUGCUGAGGGUAACUUUAGAAUGAGGUCCAGCGCGGCGUGGUGACAGUAUCUUAGUCCAUGAAAAGUGGUGUGGUUGCCACAAAAAUGCUCCCGGCAAAAUCAUGCCUCUUGGUACCGGUGGAUUCGCGUUGAAGCCGGUGCGUCGGCACUAAUAUGGCACGUACGAUACACGCGGAACCAGUAUCCGUGAAGGCUUUCUACAUUCGAUAGCGCCUACGUCCAGCAUCCUUGAGCGCCCAACCGUCCACAGCCCCGUGAUGCCAGACUGUCGUUGCCAUCCAGCUUCCAGGGACGUUUGCACGGUCUCGUGAAACUCGUUGGUACAGUACGCGGCCGCGAGCGCUGUUAAGGCGCUAGGUGCCGCUAUUUUAUUGUGCAGCAGCGUUCGCAGUGCGUGUACUGGUCAUAUGCGUACCAGCAACGCGUAACCGACUCUAUGCCAAGCGGUCCGCACUCGAAUGAGGGCGCGUACCUCGUCUCUGGGAAUCGACAAUGUUCAGGGCAGUUGUCGGGUCUUCAUCACUGCGUUUUCCUGUGAUACCAGAUGCUGGAACAGCAGCUUCGCCCCAUCAGGAAGCGCGUGUGAAGGCCGCGAAGCGGGCCACCAUCUAAAGGUUUCGUUUCGCGCCGAUCGUCCCUUUGGCAAGAGAAAACACACACCUGCUUACAACCCACGCUUCUGCUCCUGGUGCUUCCACCAGGGUCGAGCGGGUAUGUAGCUCUAAGACCCGCUAUGUCCUUACCAUUUCUAGAGCCGAGCAGCUUCGCUGAAAAGAUUGCACGAAUCAAAGCGCUUUCUGGGCAACUCACUAGCUGCGGGGUGCCUGAUCGCACUCGCCCAGCACAACGCAGCAUGUUCAAACAACAUCUGUCAUCACUGAGGAACACAACGAGGCCAAAGGUGUUGCUGCAGGACACGGAUCCCUGCAGAGCGAACUUUGCGGCUUAUGCAUGAUCUCGAGCAACCGGAAAACGCGGAAAAUCAUUCCUCUGGCUGAUAGAAUCCAUAAAGCACCCUUGCCGUCGGAGAA
RNA transcript from Cyanidioschyzon merolae strain 10D, 1416 nucleotides. RefSeq lists it as hypothetical. NCBI's taxonomy places the organism in Eukaryota, Rhodophyta, Bangiophyceae, Cyanidiales, Cyanidiaceae. The transcript has a single exon. The record is from RefSeq and is a predicted model, not a curated record.